RNA transcript from Homarus americanus (American lobster), 1557 nucleotides. RefSeq lists it as uncharacterized. Lineage: Eukaryota; Metazoa; Arthropoda; Malacostraca; Decapoda; Nephropidae. The record is from RefSeq and is a predicted model, not a curated record. The transcript is spliced from 5 exons.
UGAAGAUAUUCGUGGUAUUGGCGCUGGUGGUGGUACGGGACAAAUUGUGAUCAUUACUUAGUCGUGAGACAGCCAGCCAGCGGUGAACACAACAACCAUUUCCACUCUUCACCUCUUACAAGCACUACGAAUCUUAACACCACCGACUUCCUCCAUUUGUGAGUAUUGCACUGAGUUACCCAGAAAAAACCCCAGCAAUUUGUUGUAUGUAAUCCUCUGAGAGAAAUCUACACAUCGUGAAACAUCUUUCUGCUGUGUACGGCUCCCGUAGGUGUAGGUGAAGGUGGUGUUCCUCCGUGACAGCAGCAGCAUGAAGGUGGUGGUGACUCUCCUCGUGGUGGUGGUGACCUUACUUCACUACGGUGAGGCGGUGAAGUGCUACAACAAGAAGGUAGUCGAGUGUGGAGGCUCCUGCUUCAUCAAGACUACUGAUGGUGAUGACUUCUCUGAGCUUGGGUGUGAUCCUGCUUUUAAGAAUAAGACUACAGUUGAGGAUGGCGUCACCACUAAAUACUGCAACGGGGACAAGUGUAACUCCGCCGUCGUGAGCUUCGGUGUCUCCUUCGGCUUUAACCUUUUCCUCCUGGUCCAAGGAACCCUCCUCCACCAGCUGUUGUAAACCAAAAGGAAAGAACUUCAGCCUCCUCCACCAGCUGUUGUAAACCAAAAGGAAAGAACUUCAGCCUCCUCCACCAGCUGUUGUAAACCAAAAGGAAAGAACUUCAGCCUCCUCCGCCAGCUGUUGUAAACCAAAAGGAAAGAACUUCAGCCUCCUCCACCAGCUGUUGUAAACCAAAAGGAAAGAACUUCAGCCUCCUCCGCCAGCUGUUGUAAACCAAAAGGAAGGAACUUCAGCCUCCUCCACCAGCUGUUGUAAACUAAAAGGAAGGAACUUCAGCCUCCUCCACCAGCUGUUGUAAACCAAAAAGAAAGAACUUCAGCCUCCUCCGCCAGCUGUUGUAAACCAAAAGGAAAGAACUUCAGCCUCCUCCACCAGCUGUUGUAAACCAAAAGGAAGGAACUUCAGCCUCCUCCACCAGCUGAUGUAAACCAAAACGGAGCAUCUUCAGCUUUCCAGUGUAACCAUUUCAGAGUAUUACAUGAAGUUGUGGAAAGAGAAAGCGUGUGUCAUGUUAUUAGGUGUACCUUAUAUCAGUGUCCUUGUUUACAGUAAUUAAUCAGUGUGUCCGUCUCUUUAUUUGGAGUGAUGUAUUUUAGUUUAGCCUCAGGCAGCUAGUUAGUGUUAGUGUCAGUACGGGUGAGUACUUUUCACCUUUCCAAUUUCAAAUAUUUAUUAUGAAGAAGUUAACAAAGCUACAAUGUUAAGCAAGUUAUAAUAAUAAGGAAUAUGUCAAAAAGUUUUGUAUUUUCCUGCAACAGAAGUUCAAUAUGAAUUACUUUUGCACCUCUGCAGACUUCUAAGGAGUGGUGUGUUCCCCUCUACACAUUAUGUAUCAUAUAGUGAACUCUUGUAGCAGCCUCACGAAGCCGUUCCUUGAAAAUUUCUAAAGUUACUGUUAUUGGUCUAGUGAAAUUAAUAAAUCUUUUACUUGUUCA